GACGAACGCUGGCGGCGUGCCUAAUACAUGCAAGUCGAGCGGACGAAUCGAAAGCUUGCUUUUGAUUCGUUAGCGGCGGACGGGUGAGUAACACGUGGGCAACCUGCCCUGUAGACGGGGAUAACACCGAGAAAUCGGUGCUAAUACCGGAUAACACGAAAUGUCGCAUGACGUUUCGUUGAAAGACGGCGCAAGCUGCCGCUACAGGAUGGGCCCGCGUCGCAUUAGCUAGUUGGUGAGGUAACGGCUCACCAAGGCGACGAUACGUAGCCGACCUGAGAGGGUGAUCGGCCACACUGGGACUGAGACACGGCCCAGACUCCUACGGGAGGCAGCAGUAGGGAAUCUUCAGCAAUGGACGAAAGUCUGACGGAGCGACGCCGCGUGAGCGAAGAAGGCCUUCGGGUCGUAAAGCUCUGUUGUUAGGGAAGAACAAGUAACGCAGUAACUGGCGUUACCGUGACGGUACCUAACGAGAAAGCCACGGCUAACUACGUG
This 498-nucleotide ribosomal RNA is filed under the name uncultured bacterium. RNAcentral describes it as "partial 16S ribosomal RNA". It matches the Rfam family "Bacterial small subunit ribosomal RNA", at positions 28 to 507 of the family's 1533-position model. The record is from RNAcentral.